Molecule: ribosomal RNA, 465 nt
Filed under: uncultured bacterium
Lineage: Bacteria
Description: partial 16S ribosomal RNA
Rfam family: Bacterial small subunit ribosomal RNA
Source: RNAcentral
CUACGGGCGGCUGCAGUGAGGAAUAUUGCGCAAUGGGGGAAACCCUGACGCAGCGACGCCGCGUGGAUGAUGAAGGCCUUCGGGUCGUAAAAUCCUGUCAGAAGGAAAGAAGUGUAUGGUAGCUAAUAUCUGCCAUACUUGACGGUACCUUCAAAGGAAGCACCGGCUAACUCCGUGCCAGCAGCCGCGGUAAUACGGAGGGUGCAAGCGUUGGUCGGAAUUACUGGGCGUAAAGCGCGCGUAGGCGGUUUUAUAAGUCAGAUGUGAAAGUCCACGGCUCAACCAUGGAAGUGCAUUUGGAACUGUAAGACUUGAGUAUUGGAGGGGGUAGUGGAAUUCCCGGUGUAGAGGAGAAAUUCGUAGAUAUCGGGAGGAAUACCGGUGGCGAAGGCGACUAUCUGGCCAAAUACUGACGCUGAGGUGCGAAAGCGUGGGGAGCAAACAGGAUUAGAUACCCCCGUAGUC